GCUCGCCGAGCCGCACGGCCGGCUCCGGCGUGCGCUGCCGGGGCGCGCUGAACUCGGCGAUCACCCGCCGGGUCACCGCCGGGGCGAGCA
This 90-nucleotide transfer RNA is filed under the name Actinoplanes regularis. RNAcentral describes it as "tRNA-Arg". Lineage: Bacteria; Bacillati; Actinomycetota; Actinomycetes; Micromonosporales; Micromonosporaceae. The record is from RNAcentral.